UACGUAGGGAGCGAGCGUUGUCCGGAAUUACUGGGCGUAAAGGGCGCGUAGGCGGCGCUUCAAGUCGUCUGUCAAAUGGAAGGGCUUAACCCUUUUUCGCAGACGAAACUGGAGAGCUUGAGAAGCAGAGAGGCAAACAGAAUUCCUGGUGUAGCGGUGAAAUGCGUAGAUAUCAGGAAGAAUACCAGUGGCGAAGGCGGUUUGCUGGCUGCAUACUGACGCUGAAGCGCGAAAGCCAGGGGAGCGAACG
This 250-nucleotide ribosomal RNA is filed under the name uncultured prokaryote. RNAcentral's name for it is "partial 16S ribosomal RNA". It matches the Rfam family "Bacterial small subunit ribosomal RNA", at positions 524 to 774 of the family's 1533-position model. The record is from RNAcentral.